UAGACUCUACUAUUAAGGA
RNAcentral lists this transfer RNA (19 nucleotides) under Diadema setosum. RNAcentral's name for it is "partial tRNA-Lys". The record is from RNAcentral. Lineage: Eukaryota; Metazoa; Echinodermata; Echinoidea; Diadematoida; Diadematidae.